AGUGAACGCUGGCGGUAGGCCUAACACAUGCAAGUCGAACGGCAGCACAGUAAGAGCUUGCUCUUACGGGUGGCGAGUGGCGGACGGGUGAGGAAUACAUCGGAAUCUACUUUUUCGUGGGGGAUAACGUAGGGAAACUUACGCUAAUACCGCAUACGACCUACGGGUGAAAGCAGGGGAUCUUCGGACCUUGCGCGAUUGAAUGAGCCGAUGUCGGAUUAGCUAGUUGGCGGGGUAAAGGCCCACCAAGGCGACGAUCCGUAGCUGGUCUGAGAGGAUGAUCAGCCACACUGGAACUGAGACACGGUCCAGACUCCUACGGGAGGCAGCAGUGGGGAAUAUUGGACAAUGGGCGAAAGCCUGAUCCAGCCAUACCGCGUGGGUGAAGAAGGUCUUCGGGUUGUAAAGCCCUUUUAUUGGGAAAAAAAAACAGCGGGUGAAUACCCCGCUGUUCUGACGGUACCCAAAGAAUAAGCACCGGCUAACUUCGUG
RNAcentral lists this ribosomal RNA (492 nucleotides) under uncultured bacterium. RNAcentral's name for it is "partial 16S ribosomal RNA". It matches the Rfam family "Bacterial small subunit ribosomal RNA", at positions 29 to 507 of the family's 1533-position model. The record is from RNAcentral.